This 743-nucleotide ribosomal RNA is filed under the name uncultured Staphylococcus sp. RNAcentral's name for it is "bacterial SSU rRNA". It matches the Rfam family "Bacterial small subunit ribosomal RNA", at positions 65 to 791 of the family's 1533-position model. Lineage: Bacteria; Bacillati; Bacillota; Bacilli; Caryophanales; Staphylococcaceae. The record is from RNAcentral.
AGCGAACAGACGAGGAGCUUGCUCCUCUGACGUUAGCGGCGGACGGGUGAGUAACACGUGGAUAACCUACCUAUAAGACUGGGAUAACUUCGGGAAACCGGAGCUAAUACCGGAUAAUAUAUUGAACCGCAUGGUUCAAUAGUGAAAGACGGUUUUGCUGUCACUUAUAGAUGGAUCCGCGCCGCAUUAGCUAGUUGGUAAGGUAACGGCUUACCAAGGCAACGAUGCGUAGCCGACCUGAGAGGGUGAUCGGCCACACUGGAACUGAGACACGGUCCAGACUCCUACGGGAGGCAGCAGUAGGGAAUCUUCCGCAAUGGGCGAAAGCCUGACGGAGCAACGCCGCGUGAGUGAUGAAGGUCUUCGGAUCGUAAAACUCUGUUAUUAGGGAAGAACAAAUGUGUAAGUAACUAUGCACGUCUUGACGGUACCUAAUCAGAAAGCCACGGCUAACUACGUGCCAGCAGCCGCGGUAAUACGUAGGUGGCAAGCGUUAUCCGGAAUUAUUGGGCGUAAAGCGCGCGUAGGCGGUUUUUUAAGUCUGAUGUGAAAGCCCACGGCUCAACCGUGGAGGGUCAUUGGAAACUGGAAAACUUGAGUGCAGAAGAGGAAAGUGGAAUUCCAUGUGUAGCGGUGAAAUGCGCAGAGAUAUGGAGGAACACCAGUGGCGAAGGCGACUUUCUGGUCUGUAACUGACGCUGAUGUGCGAAAGCGUGGGAUCAAACAGGAUUAGAUACCCUGGU